AGGGCGCACAGUCAGUGGGGGUAGACGCGAAACCAAGUGAUCUACACUUGGCCAGGAUGAAGUCCCGGUAACACGGGAUGGAGGUCCGCACCAAUAAGCGUUGAAAAGCUUCUGGAUGAGCCGAGUGUAGGAGUGAAAGGCCAAUCAAACUUGGAGAUAGCUCGUACUCCCCGAAAGGCAUUUAGGUGCCGCGUCGGAUGGUCACCGUGAGAGGUAGAGCGACCGAUAGGACAAGAGGGCUUCACCGCCUAUCGAGUCCUGACGAACUCCGAAUGCUCACGGUUUGCAGUCCGGCAGUAAGGGGGCGGGUGCUAAGGUCCGUCCCCGAGAGGAGAAGAAUCCAGACCGCCGUCUAAGGUCCCGGAGUUCUGCCUGAGUUAGUCUAACGAAGUCUGGUCCCUAUGACAGCUAGGAUGUUGGCUUGGAAGCAGCCAUUCAUUCAAAGAGUGCGUAACAGCUCACUAGUCGAGGGUCCGGGCAUGGAUAAUAAUCGGGUAUAAGGCAGACACCGAAGGCGCGGGAUAGCAAUUAUAAAAGUAUCGGUAGGGGAGCAUACUCACAGCGUCGAAUGGUGUACGUAAGUUAUCCUGGAGCGGUGAGUAAAGCAAAUGUAGGAAUAAGUAACGAUAAGGAGGGUUAGAUUCCCUCCCGCUGUAAGACCAAGGUUUCCCGGGCAAUGCCAAUCAGCCCGGGGUCAGUCGGGUCCUAAGUCUAAGCCGAACGGCGAUGGCGAUGGCAGAGACGGUUAAUAUUCCGUCACUGCCGCAUGGGGCGACGUGGAGACGGAGCAGUGAAACCACCGCGGGGCGACGGAAGUCCCCGUUGAAGAGUGUAGGUGUUGAGGAUGGCAGGCAAAUCCACCAUCCGAGCUGAACUUGACAGUACGGAGUCCUCCUCGGAGGAAUCUGAUAGUGUGGGUAAUCAUACUCCCGAGAAAAUCCGCUAAGCUUAACCCAUGCGGCACCCGUACCGCAAACGGACACACGUGGUCGGGUAGAACAUACUAAGGCGUUGAGAGAUUCAUGGUUAAGGAACUAGGCAAAUUGACCCUGUAACUUCGGGAUAAAGGGUCCUCGUGAUGAGCGAGGCGCAGAGAAUAGGUCCAGGCAACUGUUUAACAAAAACACAGGGCUGUGCAAACUCGAAAGAUGACGUAUACAGCCUGACACCUGCCCGGUGCCGGAAGGUUAAGAGGAGAUGUCACACGUAAGUGGAAGCAUUGAAUUGAAGCCCCGGUAAACGGCGGCCGUAACUAUAACGGUCCUAAGGUAGCGAAAUUCCUUGUCGGGU
RNAcentral lists this ribosomal RNA (1290 nucleotides) under metagenome. Its description in RNAcentral is "bacterial LSU rRNA". It matches the Rfam family "Bacterial large subunit ribosomal RNA", at positions 689 to 1977 of the family's 2925-position model. The record is from RNAcentral.